ACACUGGAACUGAGACACGGUCCAGACUCCUACGGGAGGCAGCAGUGGGGAAUAUUGCACAAUGGGCGCAAGCCUGAUGCAGCCAUGCCGCGUGUGUGAAGAAGGCCUUCGGGUUGUAAAGCACUUUCAGUCGUGAGGAAGGUGGUGUAGUUAAUAGCUGCAUCAUUUGACGUUAGCGACAGAAGAAGCACCGGCUAACUCCGUGCCAGCAGCCGCGGUAAUACGGAGGGUGCGAGCGUUAAUCGGAAUUACUGGGCGUAAAGCGCAUGCAGGUGGUUUGUUAAGUCAGAUGUGAAAGCCCGGGGCUCAACCUCGGAAUAGCAUUUGAAACUGGCAGACUAGAGUACUGUAGAGGGGGGUAGAAUUUCAGGUGUAGCGGUGAAAUGCGUAGAGAUCUGAAGGAAUACCGGUGGCGAAGGCGGCCCCCUGGACAGAUACUGACACUCAGAUGCGAAAGCGUGGGGAGCAAACAGGAUUAGAUACCCUGGUAGUCCACGCCGUAAACGAUGUCUACUUGGAGGUUGUGGCCUUGAGCCGUGGCUUUCGGAGCUAACGCGUUAAGUAGACCGCCUGGGGAGUACGGUCGCAAGAUUAAAACUCAAAUGAAUUGACGGGGGCCCGCACAAGCGGUGGAGCAUGUGGUUUAAUUCGAUGCAACGC
This 660-nucleotide ribosomal RNA is filed under the name Vibrio alginolyticus. RNAcentral's name for it is "bacterial SSU rRNA". It matches the Rfam family "Bacterial small subunit ribosomal RNA", at positions 310 to 962 of the family's 1533-position model. Lineage: Bacteria; Pseudomonadati; Pseudomonadota; Gammaproteobacteria; Vibrionales; Vibrionaceae. The record is from RNAcentral.